This 249-nucleotide ribosomal RNA is filed under the name uncultured bacterium. Its description in RNAcentral is "partial 16S ribosomal RNA". It matches the Rfam family "Bacterial small subunit ribosomal RNA", at positions 84 to 334 of the family's 1533-position model. The record is from RNAcentral.
AUUGCUGGCGACCGGCGCACGGGUGAGUAACACGUAUCCAACCUGCCGAUAACUCGGGGAUAGCCUUUCGAAAGAAAGAUUAAUACCCGAUGGUAUAAUCAGACCGCAUGGUCUUGUUAUUAAAGAAUUUCGGUUAUCGAUGGGGAUGCGUUCCAUUAGGCAGUUGGUAAGGUAACGGCUCACCAAACCUUCGAUGGAUAGGGGUUCUGAGAGGAAGGUCCCCCACAUUGGAACUGAGACACGGUCCAA